CCUUAUUUAUCAUCUUGUUUCUUUUACAUAUUUAUAAAAUAUUUUCUAAAACAGGCAAACACCUUCUUGCCCCUUUUACAUCUUUUCAGUAGCUAUGUGGCUCCCAACAGUGUUGGCAGUGUUUCUGGGUGCAGCCCCUGACCUCUUCUUCAGCCAGCAGUCCUUGGAUGAGUCCUUCAGUGACACAAGAGCAUUUGAACCAUCUCACUGCUCACGGGGAUUCCUGGUUGACAAAGACUCUGGUGGGAACGACAUUCUGAUGGUGUAUGAACGGGACCACCAUCAUUGCCAGCUUGCCUGCACUCAGAACCCUGGGUGUUCCUACUUCAGCUACGUUGUUAAAGAAUUCCAUUGCUAUCAAAAGUAUUCCUUUGGUCAACCAACUAUGACAAACAAUCCAGGAAUCAUAUCUGGUUACACUAGGAAGGACUGCAGUGAAGGUCCAGCAGUAGAGAUACCAUUGUUUACUCUGGUUAGUGAGGGGAGGAGCAUGGCGGAAGCCCAGAAGUUCUGCAGGGAGUACUACGAGGAACUGGCCACCAUCUUCAAUGCUGAGGACCAGAUAGCAGCUCUGAGAGCAGUGUCAGCACAGAGUCUCACUGACGCUGUCUGGGUCCACUCCCAAUACAAUGCUUUUUGUCCCAGAGUGGGCUAUUGGAAUCCACCAUAUGCAAAGUGUGUUGUUCAUGAACAAAGUGCAAAAGUAUGGGGUUUGAGAGAUUGCACAAAUCCAUGUCAAUUUGUGUGCCAGAAAAGCACACAAUCAAAAAAUUCCUCAGAGCUUAAAUAUUACAUGGGUCAAGGUUCAUUGACGUGGGAACGGGCACAGACGGCUUGCCGAGACAAUGGAGAUGACUUAGCGAGCAUCCUCACCCAAGAGGAUUACACAGCAUUCCAAAGCAUAAAAGAGACACAGCAGUAUGAUAUGUGGAUUGGACUCUACUGGAAGACUUCUACCAGAAUGUGGCAGUGGUCCAAUGGGGACCUCUUCCCAUACUGUGUGUCUGAGCCUCAACUGGGUGCUAGUAACUGCUGCUCCCUGACCCGUCAGGGCCAUGGACAGACUGAACACGCUUCCCUGGACAAGAUAGACUGCUCUCUGAAGAGGCCGUUCCUUUGCACUGGAAAAAAGAGAAUCAAGCAGACCAUUGUAAGGAUGUCUCUGAAAUCUAACUCAGGAGCUGACCUCAAUGACCCAGUGGUAAAGGAACAGAUGUUGGAGCAGAUCAGAAAGGAGUUUGCCAAGAACGGGAACUUCCUCAAAGACCUGCGCUGGAGAGAACUGCCGAAUGGAGAAGUUUUUCACAAAAUAGUUGAACUUGGAAGCCCUGAAGAAGGUCAGUGUGGGUCUGGAUGAAGAGGACCAGCCAUGAUGAUGCAACAGGAGAGGGAUGGAAGGUCCAAGAAAACUAAAAUAGUCAAGCUCUCUGUAAAUAAUCCUAGUACCUCAUAAUAUAUGACCGUAUGUCAAUAACAUUGUCUUAGAAAUAAGAUGUCAAGUUAUGUUAGGCUAGUUUUAAACUCUACAAUGUUUUACUAUUGUAAAAUCAAAUUAGACUUGUUGGUGUAUGAAUUUAAUGUAAUAAUGUUUGUUGUACAUGAGGUCAAUUUGAUUAAUGAAGAGAAGUUUGUAGUUUAAACAUGCAUAGUAACACCUUUUAGUGAGGGAUCUGCAUUGUAUAAUUCUUCAUAAUGAUGUUACACACUCACUCAUGGAUGUAACUGCCGACAUUCUUAAAUAAAAUAUGUUUUAAUUAGUG
Long non-coding RNA from Oncorhynchus tshawytscha (Chinook salmon), 1760 nucleotides. The record is from Ensembl. NCBI's taxonomy places the organism in Eukaryota, Metazoa, Chordata, Actinopteri, Salmoniformes, Salmonidae.